UGAAUUUUCAUUUUUUUUGGUAGCCAAACGUGACGCACCAAACGGAGCAAUUUCUCCUAAACAAAUAAUCUUUCAGGAAAAACUGAGCAUUUGCUAUCUAACUGAGAGUCUCCUCAUUGAAAACAUCUGAAGUUCUUCAAAGACAUGACCUGCUACGACCCGACUGCAGAUGCCGCGACUAUCGCAUCGGAACCCCAUGAUGCCGAUGCUGAAGCAACUAACGCUCCAUGCCAAACAACUAUGGACUCUAAAGUGUAUGUGGUGUCCAGUACCAUCGUUGGGCCGCGGGUGUGAAAGAUUCAGCAGACUGCUUGUAUUACACAUCUGGCUAAAAGACUACUGUAGCUCUGCUGGAGUCCCUUUUAUCGAUAGCUUUGACACCUUCUGGAAACAGAAGAUACUCUACCGGAAUGACGGAGUCCAUCCAAGUCAUCUUGACUCCUGGACUCUCUCCACGCAUUUCAAGGCUGCGUUGAAACAAUGACUGGUAAAUUAUCUAGAAAAGUGCUAAAAAUAGCCCAUAUUUACAUAUGUAGCCUAAGAAACAAGGUCCAUGAGGUCAAUAACUUGCUUGUAACUGAUGACAUUCAUAUUCUCACUAUCUCUGAAACUCACUUAGAUAAUAUGUUUGACGAUACAGUGGUAGCAAUACAUGGUUAUAACAUCUACCGAAAAGACAGAAAUGCCAACAGAGGCGGUGUUGUGGUCUAUAUUCAGAACCACAUUCCUAUAAAGCUUAGAGAAUAUCUAAUGUUAAAUACUAUUGAAGUUAUAUGGCUACAGGUUCAUCUGCCUCACCUAAAGCCCAUUACUGUGGGAAGCUGCUAUAGACCACCAAGUGAUAACAGUCAGCAUCUGGAUAAUAUGUGUGAAAUACUUGAUAAUGAAUGUGAUAUCAACAGAGAAGUAUUUUUUCUGGAUGAUUUAAAUAUUGACUGGCUAUCAUUAAGCUGCCCACUCAAGAAAAAAAUUAAAACUGUAACCAGUGUCUGCAACCUGGAUCAGGUUAAAUUAUUGGCUGUUUUUUGUAGUCUUUAAUUGCUAAAAAUC
Molecule: long non-coding RNA, 1050 nt
Organism: Oncorhynchus tshawytscha (Chinook salmon)
Lineage: Eukaryota; Metazoa; Chordata; Actinopteri; Salmoniformes; Salmonidae
Source: Ensembl